Molecule: unclassified non-coding RNA, 221 nt
Filed under: Hevea brasiliensis (rubber tree)
Lineage: Eukaryota; Viridiplantae; Streptophyta; Magnoliopsida; Malpighiales; Euphorbiaceae
Source: RNAcentral
GGUCGCUGGACGCUGGACGCUGGGGUUUUUCUCCACCAGUUAUCAUGUGGUCUUUCCGACGAGCUGCUUUGCCUCUCAAGCUACAUGGUCCUUCUUGGUUUGGGCUGACCAGAGUGAUCUCAGCUAAAUCAGAUCUAAUGAGUUUUUCUGUGGGGGACAUAACUGGUACGUGCACACUUGAAAAUUUGAUACCUGGUAGGUGCAGUUCAUCAAAGGGGUUU